Long non-coding RNA from Amblyraja radiata (thorny skate), 247 nucleotides. RefSeq lists it as uncharacterized. The record is from RefSeq and is a predicted model, not a curated record. The transcript has 3 exons. Lineage: Eukaryota; Metazoa; Chordata; Chondrichthyes; Rajiformes; Rajidae.
GUAAGAAAAUAAAACAUUUAAUUUGAAUCAGUACUGCCAUGCUUGAGUGUGCAAACUUCACUUCAAUCUUUGAGCAGGAGUGUGAUGGGUUUGUUAGUGUUUAUAAUCUUAGUGAGAAAAUCAUUUGAAGUGACAGGUUGCAAAAGUCAGCCAAGAAAUCGUCAGAUAUCAUCAAAGCCCUCGUCUCAGCAUCUUCUCCUCAAAGUGAGCAAGGUAAGAGUUGUACAGAAGGAACUGCAGAUGCUGG